RNA transcript from Anopheles coluzzii, 2189 nucleotides. It is a transcript of the gene named protein PRRC1-like, with no coding region annotated. The record is from RefSeq and is a predicted model, not a curated record. Lineage: Eukaryota; Metazoa; Arthropoda; Insecta; Diptera; Culicidae. The transcript has 6 exons.
AGCCAUCAAAAUAUAAACAAACAACGGAGCAAAAUAAACGUAGCUCAGAAUCGGCUGUUCGCGUUCGUUUUACUUUUGUUACAUUUAUUCUGCGUCGCACAAUAAGUGGCCGUGUAUCGAGUGUUUUAUUCAAUUUGACCACUGCAACAGCAUCCAACAGCACAAUGAGCGAUCCGAAGAAGAAAACGGGAAACAUCCUGUCGAACGUGGGCCCACCCUCCGAGCUGCCCAGCUUCAUUACGGCGAACGUGGCAGCACCACCAGCUGGUGCGGAAAGUGUGCCGCCUGCCGCCCCGAUGGUCACCGUAGACGAUACGACGAAGAGGGAGGAAACGGAUCCGUUCAUACCGACCACGUUCAGUCCGGCGAUUCCUGCCAGCAAGGACACGUCGCAGUUUACUGCCGAACAGGCAAUGGCGGCCGCUGCUGGUGUGCACCCGGCCGAACCGACGCUGCCCGACCAGCCCGUGGGGAGAGAUUUUGCCAGCAUGAUCCUGAACCCGGAACCGGUCGCGGCGGCCCUCAGCCCCAUCACACAGGGCGGCUCGGCCCUGUUCGGGUGGAUGAAGGGUGCCGUGUCGGGCAGUGGCAUUCUGCAGAAGGUGGCCGAAAAGGCGAAGAACUCGGUCGACACGAUCGUUACCACGCUGGAUCCGCAGAUGAAGGAGUACAUAAAUUCCGGUGGCGAUACGGAGGUGAUUGUGGCAUCGGACAAAGACGACAAGGUUCGCCCGAUACGGGAAGCAUUUCAGACAGUAUUUGGCAAGGCGACCAUCAUUGGUCUGGCCGCCCAAGCGGUUGGCAUUGCCGCCCAGCCAGUUGGGUUUGCCGCCGGCCUAAAGGGCGCCGAGCAUCGUAUCAACAGCAUUCGGGCUGAAAAUCCCCGCGUGGACGAUCAUCUGCCGGUGGUGGCGGUGGAGAACUUUGUCGUAGAACUCUUUCCCGACCAAUGGUUCGAGGCCGGUGCGAUCGUACUGUUCGAUUAUGCGAAAAAUAUCCUCCUGAAAACGGUGACGCAGAUGACGCCGAUACCGCUGCCGGUCAUUGCGGCCCUGCAAGCCGACACGCCCGAGGAUUAUAUGCUGAAGGAUACCGGAUUCGCAACUACCGUUGGUAGCGUUAUGGCCAGGAAUCUGAAUACCUCACACACCGAAUGGCACCGUUCGUACACGUCCGUGUCUCGCUCGGAUAUGAUACUGACCGCGGCCAAAACGAUAGCGACACUAUACAAGCAUGCCGUGCUCGACUACGAACUUACCGUGACGUCUCAGGUGGAUUCGGAAGUAGGAGCAGCGACCGGACCAUCCACUACCGGCGGCGAUGGCGGGGACAGUACAUCCCAACCAACGGAAUAAGAAUUAAUGUUCACCAUCAUUAGGGCUUGUCACUGUAAUCACUACUGAGCUGGUGCUGCCCUCUGCGGAUCUGUGAGCUGCAGUUGGAUGGAUAAAUGAAUGGAGAGUAGAUAGUGUGUGGAAGCUUGGCGUGACGAUCGUAGUCCAAGAUAUUGUAAAAGAAGGGAUUUUGUGAAGGUUGAAGUGGUGACGAGCUGCACGGUCGUUCCACACAAGAUGAUUGUGGAAAAGGUCAGCAUUUCGAGGAGCUUUGGAGUGUUGCUCUUCACCUUCGUUUACAGACCCAUAUCGAGAAAGACAGAGACAGAGCAUAAUGGUAAAAGUAUCGACCAACAAUCCCAUUGGGAGUGAACAACAGCAAGAAAGGAGUGAAAAAGCACAUAUAAGUUUUAAUGUUCGUUUGGGUGGCGCCCGUUACGUGACGGUGUAGAAUAAGAUAAUCCUUUUUUUUAUUGUUUUGAUCCUCCUUCCGAGACACCGAGAUUCCCUUUUGCCCGAGAUGCGAAUGGGAAAAUCGGCAUGAUUUUCAAUUUAUUGAUUCAACCCAUGAGAUUUAACCGGCCGACCCGGAUCACAGAAGAAUCGCCCGGGAUUGCCUGCUGAACAGGAUCGCGUGAAUCUCGUACGCUCGAAAGAUGAGUGAGAGAGAGAGGGAGAGAGAGAUAAUUUCUUGAAGGUGUCGAGCGUGCGCUUAUCAAAAUUAUACGACCAUAGUUUAUUAUAUAGACCAUAGCACUCGUUGAAACUAUAAGCCUAUUAUCGUAAUAAUCACCAGUAAUAAAACGCAAACUGUAAGCAGCCAUUCUUAACAAAAUGGAACGAAAUGGAACGAAA